GAUGAACGCUGGCGGCGUGCCUAAUACAUGCAAGUCGAGCGAACGGACGAGAAGCUUGCUUCUCUGAUGUUAGCGGCGGACGGGUGAGUAACACGUGGAUAACCUACCUAUAAGACUGGGAUAACUUCGGGAAACCGGAGCUAAUACCGGAUGAUAUUUUGAACCGCAUGGUUCAAAAGUGAAAGACGGUCUUGCUGUCACUUAUAGAUGGAUCCGCGCUGCAUUAGCUAGUUGGUAAGGUAACGGCUUACCAAGGCAACGAUGCAUAGCCGACCUGAGAGGGUGAUCGGCCACACUGGAACUGAGACACGGUCCAGACUCCUACGGGAGGCAUCAGUAGGGAAUCUUCCGCAAUGGGCGAAAGCCUGACGGAGCAACGCCGCGUGAGUGAUGAAGGUCUUCGGAUCGUAAAACUCUGUUAUUAGGGAAGAACAUAUGUGUAAGUAACUGUGCACAUCUUGACGGUACCUAAUCAGAAAGCCACGGCUAACUACGUG
Molecule: ribosomal RNA, 497 nt
Filed under: uncultured bacterium
Lineage: Bacteria
Description: partial 16S ribosomal RNA
Rfam family: Bacterial small subunit ribosomal RNA
Source: RNAcentral